RNAcentral lists this ribosomal RNA (465 nucleotides) under uncultured bacterium. Its description in RNAcentral is "partial 16S ribosomal RNA". It matches the Rfam family "Bacterial small subunit ribosomal RNA", at positions 28 to 506 of the family's 1533-position model. The record is from RNAcentral.
GACGAACGCUGGCGGCGCGCCUAACACAUGCAAGUCGAACGAGCGAGAGAGAGCUUGCUUUCUCGAGCGAGUGGCGAACGGGUGAGUAACGCGUGAGGAACCUGCCUCAAAGAGGGGGACAACAGUUGGAAACGACUGCUAAUACCGCAUAAGCCCACGGCUCGGCAUCGAGCAGGGGGAAAAGGAGCAAUCCGCUUUGAGAUGGCCUCGCGUCCGAUUAGCUAGUUGGUGAGGUAACGGCCCACCAAGGCGACGAUCGGUAGCCGGACUGAGAGGUUGAAGGGACAAAUGGGGACGGAGACACGGCCCAGACCCCUACGGGAGGAAGCAGGGGGGAAUAUUACAAAAGGGGGGAAACCCUGAUGGAGGGACGCCGGGGGGAGGAAGAAGGUUUUCGGAUGGUAAACUCCUGUUGGGGGGAAAGAAAAUGACGGUACCCAAAAAGGAAGGAACGGAUAACUACGU